CUUUUCAAGAGAGAGUGACAGAGGGGUAUAGUGGGGGAGUAGGGGGAGGAGAGCUCCCCAAGGGUCCUCAACAACACCUGAAGGAGAAGGUGUGGCUCGACUGCUAGGUUGUUAAGAUGGUGUAUAAAUAGGGAUUGAAGAGGACUGUGGAUAGGAAAAUGGAGAAAAACGGAUUACUGGGGAUUUUUAAAAGGUAGGUAACAGGCAACAACAGGUAACACCUCACCCGACUCAAGGCAAAGAGGAGAAUAAAGGCACAAGGUGAGUCCGUGUUCAUUCAUGUUGUAGGAAGCCACCCUCUGAAAUGAUCUGCAUGGACCCCCCACGUGUGAACAUGUAGGAAUCCCCCGGGCUACGUUCUGCAGCAAUCAUUUUGAAUGAUCCUCAAAUAAGAGAAGGAAAAACACACUCCACGAAUCCUUCCUCCGCUACAUCUCUAGGUGAAGGUAUGAGGAUUCUCCGGGUUUCCCUGCUGGCCUUAUCAGAGGGGAGAAGCCUUGCUGUAUCCCCAUCUACACAGAAGAAGACCUCCUUUGGCCUCUGUGAUGCCAAGGGUGCCAGUCCCAGAGUGUUGCGGUGCCUCCAGGGUUCAAACUAGAUAACAGCUCGCUGGGGUGGGGGAUGGGGGCAGCUUGCCUUGUCAGUUGAAUAGGAAAAGCUGUGCGAAUUAGAAUCACAGAGGGCUUGUCUACCCUCCCUCCAGCCCCCCCCUUCUUUCAUUCCCAGAGCCUGAAUGCAAAUGAGUAUUUCUACAGUCUGAAGCCUAGAUCUUCCUCGGCAGUGGGGCUCUGCCCUGCUGGGAGCUGUUGGGAGUUGGACAUAGCUGCCUGUGAAGGAUCUGCUCUGGCCUGGACACGAGCUCCAUUUCAUCUGGAGCACUGUCGUUCAUGUCAUCUGCCCCAGUUCCCCCAGGGUUUUGGCGACAUACGCUGGCGACAUACACACAACUUUGUGUUGUGUAAGGGAACUCCUCUCUUUCUCUCCACAGAUCUUGCUGGUGUCUGCAAUCUGUUCUGGGUUAUUCCCUGCCCUGCUCUGUGGUAUAUGGAAUAUGUUCUGUGGUUGGCAAGGAUCUCUCGCAUGAAUUUGUGAAGCUGCAUACACUUCCUGUGAAGUGAUUCUGGGAGGAGGAAUUUGUGAGAUCAUGCCCAGUGGAAACAUGGUUGUCAACACAUUUGCCCCAGAGACUGUCCUCAGGGAACCAGAGGCAAUAGGGCCUGAACUCAGGGUACCUACUGAAUAUUUACCAAGGGCCUUAAAUAUAGCCCAAAGUCUGUGAUAAAAAUCACCAUCUGGUCCAGGUGCAUCUUGCUGUAAGAAAAUAUGAUAUUUGAAAAUUCAGAAAGAUAUAACAGAAGGACUUGCCGGUUUGCAUUACAAAAAGGUUGCAUGGGCUUCCCUAAGUGAAGCUUUCCCCUUUGAUAUUUAAUGUGUGGCUGAUUUAUUAGAAAUUCCAUUCAUAUCCAACUGGUCAGAAACACAUUCAUUUAUUUUUAUUUAUUUAAGACUUGUCACCUGCUUACUUUCAAGAGGUCUUGAGCAACUUACAGGUUAAAACAUGGGGCAAAAGGAGACAUUUAGGAAAGAAAUAGAACAGACAGAACCCAGGGAGGAGGUGGGGUUAGAGGCAUGAAGCAUACAAGAUGAAUGGGUUCUACAAUUAGGCUCUCUAAGGGAAAAAAG
Molecule: long non-coding RNA, 1683 nt
Organism: Ursus maritimus (polar bear)
Lineage: Eukaryota; Metazoa; Chordata; Mammalia; Carnivora; Ursidae
Source: Ensembl